AUGGGCGCAAGCCUGAUCCAGCAAUGCCGCGUGCAGGAUGAAGGCCUUCGGGUUGUAAACUGCUUUUGUACGGAACGAAAAGCCCUGGGUUAAUACCCUGGGGUCAUGACGGUACCGUAAGAAUAAGCACCGGCUAACUACGUGCCAGCAGCCGCGGUAAUACGUAGGGUGCAAGCGUUAAUCGGAAUUACUGGGCGUAAAGCGUGCGCAGGCGGUUUUGUAAGACAGAGGUGAAAUCCCCGGGCUCAACCUGGGAACUGCCUUUGUGACUGCAAGGCUAGAGUACGGCAGAGGGGGAUGGAAUUCCGCGUGUAGCAGUGAAAUGCGUAGAUAUGCGGAGGAACACCGAUGGCGAAGGCAAUCCCCUGGGCCUGUACUGACGCUCAUGCACGAAAGCGUGGGGAGCAAACAGGAUUAGAUACCCUGGUAGUCCACGCCCUAAACGAUGUCAACUGGUUGUUGGGUCUUAACUGACUCAGUAACGAAGCUAACGCGUGAAGUUGACCGCCUGGGGAG
RNAcentral lists this ribosomal RNA (516 nucleotides) under uncultured bacterium. RNAcentral describes it as "bacterial SSU rRNA". It matches the Rfam family "Bacterial small subunit ribosomal RNA", at positions 371 to 880 of the family's 1533-position model. The record is from RNAcentral.